RNAcentral lists this long non-coding RNA (205 nucleotides) under Elaeis guineensis (African oil palm). RNAcentral describes it as "long non-coding RNA (EGUI_LNC000158)". The record is from RNAcentral. Lineage: Eukaryota; Viridiplantae; Streptophyta; Magnoliopsida; Arecales; Arecaceae.
GUUAUCACCUGCCAGAACCAACCAAUCUUCCAGAUAGAACAGAGAAUUCUCGAGAACUCUACAAUUUGCGUUUGCUUUAUAUCUAAAAAUCUUUCUAUUUCUUUCCUUCCAUAAACUCCACAUGACUGAAAUUGAAAGAAUGUCCCAAGCUAAAUUGGGAAAGAAACUUGGAAGAUUGUUUCGUCACUCCAUCCACAGUGUGGUG